This 232-nucleotide ribosomal RNA is filed under the name uncultured bacterium. RNAcentral describes it as "partial 16S ribosomal RNA". It matches the Rfam family "Bacterial small subunit ribosomal RNA", at positions 99 to 334 of the family's 1533-position model. The record is from RNAcentral.
CGGACGGGUGAGUAAUGUCUGGGAAACUGCCUGAUGGAGGGGGAUAACUACUGGAAACGGUAGCUAAUACCGCAUAGCGUCGCAAGACCAAAGAGGGGGACCUUCGGGCCUCUUGCCAUCGGAUGUGCCCAGAUGGGAUUAGCUAGUAGGUGGGGUAACGGCUCACCUAGGCGACGAUCCCUAGCUGGUCUGAGAGGAUGACCAGCCACACUGGAACUGAGACACGGUCCAG